Molecule: ribosomal RNA, 254 nt
Filed under: uncultured bacterium
Lineage: Bacteria
Description: partial 16S ribosomal RNA
Rfam family: Bacterial small subunit ribosomal RNA
Source: RNAcentral
UACGGGGGGAGCAAGCGUUGUUCGGAUUUACUGGGCGUAAAGGGCGCGUAGGCGGCCACCGCAAGUCAAUUGUGAAAUCUCCGGGCUUAACUCGGAAAGGUCAACUGAUACUGCGGGGCUAGAGUGCGGAAGGGGCAACUGGAAUUCCUGGUGUAGCGGUGAAAUGCGCAGAUAUCAGGAGGAACACCAAUUGCGAAGGCAGCUCGCUGGGACGUUACUGACGCUGAGACGCGAAAGCGUGGGGAGCAAACAGG